UACGGAGGGGGCUAGCGUUGUUCGGAAUUACUGGGCGUAAAGCGCGCGUAGGCGGUCUAUAAAGUCAGGUGUGAAAUCCCGGAGCUUAACUUCGGAAUUGCAUUUGAAACUCAUAGACUAGAGAGUGGUAGAGGACAGUGGAAUUCCCGGUGUAGAGGUGAAAUUCGUAGAUACCGGGAGGAACACCAGUGGCGAAAGCGGCUGUCUGGGCCAUUUCUGACGCUAAGGCGCGAAAGCGUGGGGAGCAAACAGG
RNAcentral lists this ribosomal RNA (253 nucleotides) under uncultured bacterium. RNAcentral describes it as "partial 16S ribosomal RNA". It matches the Rfam family "Bacterial small subunit ribosomal RNA", at positions 524 to 776 of the family's 1533-position model. The record is from RNAcentral.